GGGUUUAUUUUAAAUGGAUUAUUAUUAAUAUUUAAUAUUUUUAUAUAAUAUAAAUUUAUGUAAAAUAGAAAGUUUUUGUUUAUGAAGUAUUAAAGGUAUAGAUUCAUUGUUUAAUUUAGUACUGUAAAGGAUUAUAUUUUUAAGUUUUUUAUAGUAGAUUUUAUAUUCGUACCUUUUGUAUAAUGAGUUGAUAAUAUAUUUAGGUUUUAAUAUAAAUUAUUCUCGAAUUGAAAAGAUUUACUUAAUAUAUUAUUAUGUUAACGUUGUAUAGUUAUAUAAUUAGUGUUAAGUGGUAAUGAUAUAUUUAUCGUUUUUCAUGAUAGCUAGUUUAUUGAUUUAAAAUAUUUAAGUGUUAUGAUAUUAAUAUAGUUUUGUUUAUUUAAUAUUAUUUAUAGUAUGGGGGAUAAGCUUCAUAUUAUUUGUAGAAUUAAAUUAUGUUUAGUGAUAAUUAAAGUAGGGUUAAUAAUGUUUUUCUUUAUAAGUAGUUUAAAUAUAAUAUAUUUAGUUUUUCAAGUAUAAUUAAAUCAUAAAUGUUUAUGAAUUAAUUUAAAUAAAUAUAAUGUUAAUAUGAGUAUUAGUUAUUGUUAUAAAUUUGGUUUUUUUGAUAAUAAAUAAAUAAUGUUUAUUAAUAAAAUAAAAUAAUAUAAAGGAAUUCGGCAAAUAUUAAUCUCGCCUGUUUAUCAAAAACAUGUCUCUUUGUUAUUUAUAAAUAAAGAGUCGGGCCUGCUCGGUGAUAUAAUUUAACAGCUGCGGUAUUUUAACUGUACUAAGGUAGCAUAAUAGUUUGCCUUAUAAUUUGAGGCUAGAAUGAAUGGUUUGACGAAGGUUAUUCUGUCUCUGUUUUAUUUAUUAGAAAUUAAUUUUUAAAGUGAAAAAGCUUGAAUUUUUUAAAGGGACGAGAAGACCCUAUUGAGCUUAUAAUUUUAAUAUUGUUAUAUUAUAAUAUUAGAUAAAUUUUAAUUGGGGUGAUUAAGGAAUAAAAUAAUUAAGAAUAACUUCCUUGUAUAUAAUAUGGGUGUAUAAAUUAACCAAUUAUUGUAUUGCUUAUAUGAUAGUUACCAUAGGGAUAACAGCGUAAUUUAUUUAGAGAGUUCUUAUUAAAAAAUAAGAUUGCGACCUCGAUGUUGGAUUAAAAUAACCUUAAGGUGUAGAAGCUUUAAUAGGUAAAUCUGUUCGAUUUUUAAAAUUUUACAUGAUCUGAGUUCAGACCGGCGUAAGCCAGGUUGGUUUCUAUCUUUUAAAAUUAUAAAUUGUUUCUUUUAGUACGAAAGGAUCAAAGUUAACUAAAUCAUUAAUUAUAAUUUUAAUGAAUUAAUAAGGUUGAUAUAGUUUAAAUGAUUAAUUGUUUGUUACAUUAAGUAUAAUUGUA
RNAcentral lists this ribosomal RNA (1369 nucleotides) under Sepiolinae sp. GS-2021. Its description in RNAcentral is "16S ribosomal RNA". The stretch from base 1066 to 1225 matches the Rfam family "Archaeal large subunit ribosomal RNA", at positions 2542 to 2701 of the family's 2987-position model. The record is from RNAcentral. Lineage: Eukaryota; Metazoa; Mollusca; Cephalopoda; Sepiida; Sepiolidae.